This 544-nucleotide ribosomal RNA is filed under the name Mrakia gelida. RNAcentral's name for it is "eukaryotic LSU rRNA". It matches the Rfam family "Eukaryotic large subunit ribosomal RNA", at positions 124 to 652 of the family's 3401-position model. The record is from RNAcentral. Lineage: Eukaryota; Fungi; Basidiomycota; Tremellomycetes; Cystofilobasidiales; Mrakiaceae.
GCGGCCUCAGGUCGUCCGAGUUGUAGUCUAGAGAAUCGUUUUCCGCGUUGGCCUGUGUACAAGUCCCUUGGAACAGGGCGUCAUAGAGGGUGAGAAUCCCGUCCUUGACACAGAUUACCAAUGCUUUGUGAUGCGAUCUCGAAGAGUCGAGUUGUUUGGGAAUGCAGCUCAAAAUGGGUGGUAAAUUCCAUCUAAAGCUAAAUAUUGGCGAGAGACCGAUAGCGAACAAGUACCGUGAGGGAAAGAUGAAAAGCACUUUGGAAAGAGAGUUAAACAGUACGUGAAAUUGUUAAAAGGGAAACGAUUGAAGUCAGUCAUGCUUUCCGAGACUCAGCCGAUUCUGUCGGUGUACUUCUCGGUUGGCAGGCCAGCAUCAGUUUCGAUCUGUGGAAAAGGUUGGAGGGAACGUGGCAUCCUCGGAUGUGUUAUAGCCCUUCUUCGAAUACAUAGAGCGGGACUGAGGAACGCAGCGCGCCUUUUAUUAGGUUGGCCCUCGGGUACAUACGCGCUUAGGAUGCUGGCAUAAUGGCUUUAAACGACCCGU